RNAcentral lists this ribosomal RNA (257 nucleotides) under uncultured bacterium. RNAcentral describes it as "partial 16S ribosomal RNA". It matches the Rfam family "Archaeal small subunit ribosomal RNA", at positions 473 to 727 of the family's 1478-position model. The record is from RNAcentral.
UAGCCAGCACCCCGAGUGGUUCGGGACGUUUAUUGGGCCUAAAGCAUCCGUAGCCGGUUCUACAAGUCUUCCGUUAAAUCCACCGUGCCUUAACAGAUGGGCUGCGGAAGAUACUAUGGAGCUAGGAGGCGGGAGAGGCAAGCGGUACUCGAUGGGUAGGGGUAAAAUCCGUUGAUCCAUUGAAGACCACCAGUGGCGAAGGCGGCUUGCCAGAACGCGCUCGACGGUGAGGGAUGAAAGCUGGGGGAGCAAACCGG